GCGGGCGUAGUAUAACGGCUAUCACGUGAGCUUCCCAAGCUUGAAACGAGGGUUCGACUCCCUCCGCCCGCACCA
RNAcentral lists this transfer RNA (75 nucleotides) under Verrucomicrobiota bacterium. RNAcentral describes it as "Verrucomicrobia bacterium (activated sludge metagenome) tRNA-Gly". It matches the Rfam family "tRNA". From Rfam's summary of the family: Transfer RNA (tRNA) molecules are approximately 80 nucleotides in length. Lineage: Bacteria; Pseudomonadati; Verrucomicrobiota. The record is from RNAcentral.